UAAUAUUUUGGGCAAAACAGACGAAAGUCUGCGACGCAAAGCUAUAGGACCUGUAAAAUGGUAGCCAGUUGUAAAA
Molecule: non-coding RNA, 76 nt
Filed under: Dorea formicigenerans
Lineage: Bacteria; Bacillati; Bacillota; Clostridia; Lachnospirales; Lachnospiraceae
Also listed under: 1 other name
Description: c-di-GMP sequence
Rfam family: c-di-GMP-I riboswitch aptamer
About the family: GEMM was predicted in a large-scale screen for bacterial structured RNA regulatory elements. Genes associated with GEMM are involved in a diverse array of functions, including chemotaxis regulation, signal transduction, secretion and chitin.
Source: RNAcentral